UGUGGGAGGAGCGUGCCACGCCCAGGGGGGACUCCCCCACGCUGCUCCGGCCCCGUGCUGGGGGCGGGCACGCCCUGCGAAGUCACGGUUUUGGCAAAAACUCGGCAAGUCGGCAAGUAAACUGUUUGCUAAGGGAUCCUUCCUCUGCGAGGUGGGGAGUGAAGGUGCGACGUGGAAGCCCCUCGGGCCUGCUGCGCACGUGGGGACGGCCCCCGAGGGUCCCCUCGUGGAGCCGCAGGGUCAGGGAGCACGAGAGGCCAGUGGUGGGCUAUGCAACCUGACCCCUGACCUCUCUCUCUUUCGCGGGGGUCUUGACCAUGGGCCCUGGGGUGCAGGGACCCAGGUGCUCUCAGGAUGACAGGAAGUCAGGGUUGCCCAGCUUCCUGC
Long non-coding RNA from Phyllostomus discolor (pale spear-nosed bat), 387 nucleotides. RefSeq lists it as uncharacterized. The transcript is spliced from 3 exons. The record is from RefSeq and is a predicted model, not a curated record. NCBI's taxonomy places the organism in Eukaryota, Metazoa, Chordata, Mammalia, Chiroptera, Phyllostomidae.